GGAUGGGUCUGCGGCCUAUCAGGUAGUAGUGGGUGUAAUGUACCUACUAGCCUACGACGCGUACGGGUUGUGAGAGCAAGAGCCCGGAGAUGGAUUCUGAGACAUGAAUCCAGGCCCUACGGGGCGCAGCAGGCGCGAAAACUUUACAAUGCGGGAAACCGUGAUAAGGGGACACCGAGUGCCAGCAUCCUAUGCUGGCUGUCCGGGUGUGUAAAAUACACCUGUUAGCAAGGGCCGGGCGAGACCGGUGCCAGCCGCCGCGGUAACACCGGCGGCCCGAGUGGUGAUCGUGAUUAUUGGGUCUAAAGGGUCCGUAGCCGGUUUGGUCAGUCCUCCGGGAAAUCUGACAGCUUAACUGUUAGGCUUUCGGAGGAUACUCCCAGACUUGGAACCGGGAGAGGUAAGAGGUACUACAGGGGUAGGAGUGAAUUCUUGUAAUCCCUGUGGGACCACCUGUGGCGAAGGCGUCUUACCAGAACGCGUUCGACGGUGAGGGACGAAAGCUGGGGGCGCGAACCGGAUUAGAUACCCGGGUAGUCCCAGCCGUAAACGAUGCUCGCUAGGUG
RNAcentral lists this ribosomal RNA (566 nucleotides) under uncultured archaeon. Its description in RNAcentral is "bacterial SSU rRNA". It matches the Rfam family "Archaeal small subunit ribosomal RNA", at positions 207 to 773 of the family's 1478-position model. The record is from RNAcentral.